This 136-nucleotide unclassified non-coding RNA is filed under the name Arabidopsis thaliana (thale cress). The record is from RNAcentral. Lineage: Eukaryota; Viridiplantae; Streptophyta; Magnoliopsida; Brassicales; Brassicaceae.
AUUCAUAAGCACCAAAACAAAUAUGUAGAGAUCUCCUCUUCCAUUCUCUAUUGUUACUUUCGAGAAGAAACAUACAAAACACAUACAUUUUUCUUUUGUUUGUGGUUUUCAUAUAUACAAGUGGGUAUAGCUAGUG